GAUGAACGCUGGCGGCGUGCCUAAUUCAUGCAAGUCGAGCGAACAGACGAGGAGCUUGCUCCUCUGACGUUAGCGGCGGACGGGUGAGUAACACGUGGAUAACCUACCUAUAAGACUGGGAUAACUUCGGGAAACCGGAGCUAAUACCGGAUAAUAUAUUGAACCGCAUGGUUCAAUAGUGAAAGACGGUUUUGCCGUCACUUAUAGAUGGAUCCGCGCCGCAUUAGCUAGUUGGUAAGGUAACGGCUUACCAAGGCAACGAUGCGUAGCCGACCUGAGAGGGUGAUCGGCCACACUGGAACUGAGACACGGUCCAGACUCCUACGGGAGGCAGCAGUAGGGAAUCUUCCGCAAUGGGCGAAAGCCUGACGGAGCAACGCCGCGUGAGUGAUGAAGGUCUUCGGAUCGUAAAACUCUGUUAUUAGGGAAGAACAAAUGUGUAAGUAACUAUGCACGUCUUGACGGUACCUAAUCAGAAAGCCACGGCUAACUACGUG
RNAcentral lists this ribosomal RNA (497 nucleotides) under uncultured bacterium. Its description in RNAcentral is "partial 16S ribosomal RNA". It matches the Rfam family "Bacterial small subunit ribosomal RNA", at positions 28 to 507 of the family's 1533-position model. The record is from RNAcentral.